UACGAAGGGGGCUAGCGUUGCUCGGAAUCACUGGGCGUAAAGCGCACGUAGGCGGGUCUUUAAGUCAGGGGUGAAAUCCUGGAGCUCAACUCCAGAACUGCCUUUGAUACUGAGGAUCUCGAGUCCGGGGGAGGUGAGUGGAACUCCGAGUGUAGAGGUGAAAUUCGUAGAUAUUCGGAAGAACACCAGUGGCGAAGGCGGCUCACUGGCCCGGUACUGACGCUGAGGUGCGAAAGCGUGGGGAGCAAACAGG
RNAcentral lists this ribosomal RNA (253 nucleotides) under uncultured bacterium. RNAcentral describes it as "partial 16S ribosomal RNA". It matches the Rfam family "Bacterial small subunit ribosomal RNA", at positions 524 to 776 of the family's 1533-position model. The record is from RNAcentral.